UAGUGGCGAACGGGUGAGUAACACGUGGGCAAUCUGCCCUUCACUCUGGGACAAGCCCUGGAAACGGGGUCUAAUACCGGAUAANACUUUUCCCUGCAUGGGGGAGGGUUGAAAGCUCCGGCGGUGAAGGAUGAGCCCGCGGCCUAUCAGCUUGUUGGUGGGGUGAUGGCCUACCAAGGCGACGACGGGUAGCCGGCCUGAGAGGGCGACCGGCCACACUGGGACUGAGACACGGCCCAGACUCCUACGGGAGGCAGCAGUGGGGAAUAUUGCACAAUGGGCGGAAGCCUGAUGCAGCGACGCCGCGUGAGGGAUGACGGCCUUCGGGUUGUAAACCUCUUUCAGCAGGGAAGAAGCGUGAGUGACGGUACCUGCAGAAGAAGCGCCGGCUAACUACGUGCCAGCAGCCGCGGUAAUACGUAGGGCGCAAGCGUUGUCCGGAAUUAUUGGGCGUAAAGAGCUCGUAGGCGGCUUGUCGCGUCGGAUGUGAAAGCCCGGGGCUCAACCCCGGGUCUGCAUUCGAUACGGGCAGGCUGGAGUGUGGUAGGGGAGAUCGGAAUUCCU
This 564-nucleotide ribosomal RNA is filed under the name Streptomyces sp. 337C06. RNAcentral's name for it is "bacterial SSU rRNA". It matches the Rfam family "Bacterial small subunit ribosomal RNA", at positions 93 to 671 of the family's 1533-position model. RNAcentral also lists the same sequence under 1 other name. Lineage: Bacteria; Bacillati; Actinomycetota; Actinomycetes; Kitasatosporales; Streptomycetaceae. The record is from RNAcentral.